RNAcentral lists this long non-coding RNA (3204 nucleotides) under Triticum aestivum (bread wheat). RNAcentral's name for it is "long non-coding RNA (TAES_LNC011490)". The record is from RNAcentral. Lineage: Eukaryota; Viridiplantae; Streptophyta; Magnoliopsida; Poales; Poaceae.
AGAACCGUUUGCUUGCCAUGAACUAUAUUGACGAGGGCUCAGAUGACAAGCUUUAUGAUGCUCACAGGUCAGUUUAUGCACUGUUUGCAAUGAAAGUGCCAUUUCUAUGUUACCAUGAUGCUAAUACUAUUCAGUAUUAACUCGAUAUUUUGCAGGGAAUGGGGAAAGCGCUUUAUGAAAUUGUAUGCACAGUAUACUAGUUGGGAUAACAUAAAAAUCGCUGAUCGUCCACUGGUCAUUGGUUAUGUGUCUCCUGAUUUUUUUACUCACUCUGUGUCUUACUUCGUUGAAGCCCCGCUUACACACCAUGAUUACACAAAUUGCAAGGUGGUCGUCUAUUCUGGUGUUGUGAAGGUAUAGACAAUUUGUUCCUUGCUAGCUAUUCUGGAUUUUGGGCACACAGUGACAAUCAACUUAUUUUGGCUGACUUGCUACCCCUUUUUAACUAAACAAAAACAUGAAUCCAGUGUCCAACAGCCUAGAGAAUUUAUCUAUCAAAAUUAAUUUGGUAACACGAGAUAUACAGACUAGAAAAUAAGUAACUGCAAUGUGAAGCUAUCAAGGUGGAUCUGGGGUUAUUUCAUCAUUUAUCCUUCUGUUCACACACGGUCUUUUUUCUGAUCAUAUUUUUUAUUAUUGAUGAUUCUCUAGGCAGAUGCCAAGACCCUUCGAUUCAAGGAUAAGGUGUUAAAAAAGGGCGGGGUCUGGAGAGAUAUAUAUGGUAUUGAUGAAAAGAAGGUUGCUACCUUGGUCAGAGAGGAUAAAGUGGAUAUACUUGUGGAACUUACUGGUCAUACAGCAAAUAAUAAACUAGGAACAAUGGCGUGCCGGCCUGCUCCUAUUCAGGUAUUUGUGUUCCACGUGGCAUUUCAACGACUUAACUUUAUUUUCAGAACAGCUUGCUAUGAGCAGUUUUAUGCCUAUUAUUAUGUUCUGGGAGCUUCUAUUUGUCCCCUUCCAUCCCUAUCCACUCAAAUCAUUCCAAGUAGUUUGAUCAAUGUGUCAAUUGCUAUCUGACUGUUUUGCUGAGAAGGGCCUUUCUAACUUGGGUAUGUAUGUCCUUACAGGUUACAUGGAUUGGUUACCCUAAUACGACAGGUUUACCAGCAAUUGACUACAGAAUAACAGAUUCAUUGGCUGAUUCUCCUAAUACAAACCAAAAGUAUGCCAGAUGCUUUUCAUGUAGUUAUUCUGUCAUGCAGUUUCUCCCUAUGCGUCUAGAACCUCAUAGUAACGACUGUCUGCAGGCAUGUUGAAGAGUUGGUGCGCCUUCCUGAAAGUUUUCUUUGUUACACUCCUUCUCCAGAAGCUGGGCCAGUUUGUCCCACACCAGCAAUCUCAAAUGGUUUUGUCACGUUUGGUAGUUUUAACAAUCUAGCAAAGGUGCAUAACAGAUUUGAACGCUUUAUUUUAUCUCUAUUGAAUCACUCUGUUCAUAAAGUUAUUUUUGGCAGAUCACACCGAAAGUUAUGCAAGUUUGGGCCAGAAUAUUAUGUGCAGUCCCUAACUCACGGCUUGUGGUUAAGUGCAAGCCAUUCUGCUGUGACAGUAUACGACAGAAAUUUUUAUCGACACUUGAGGAGUUGGGUUUGGAGUCACUACGAGUUGAUUUACUACCACUCAUCCAUCUCAACCAUGACCACAUGCAAGCAUAUUCCUUAAUGGACAUCAGGUGAGAAGUUGUUUCACUUGUAAUAUACUCCAUCCGUUCCGAAAUAGAUGACUCAACUUUGUACAAAGUUAGUACAAAGUUGGGUCAUCUAUUUUGGAACGGAGGGAGUAGUUGUGUUAUAUACUCAUAUAUAGGAUCUUCUAUGUCAAGUCUUGCAUGUUUGUCAGGGUGUGCGUUUAUAUGUAAUCUUUAGAUCCAUGCCAAUAAAUAUCAUUAUCCUACAUUGAUCACUGGCAAAUCCUUACUAUUUUCGCGUGAAUAUUCAGAAAAUGUGUUCUCCAUUAUCGGUGUUCCUCUGAAGCUGAUUGAACUUCCAUUUGUGUUUUUGCAGCCUAGAUACGUUUCCAUAUGCUGGGACUACCACUACAUGUGAAUCUCUUUACAUGGGGGUUCCAUGUGUUACAAUGGCUGGUUCAGUUCAUGCUCAUAAUGUUGGUGUUAGCCUACUCACUAAAGUUGGUACGUUCUAACAAUAGGCGGACAUGAAUUUUUAUUUAUUUUUCUCCUGCCUAGUUAUUUAUUUUUUCACCGUCUAGUUCCAUCUGUUAUUAUGGAACCUAAAAAAGGGGACCUGUAUAUUGUUGUUAUAUAAACAUAGGGAAUUGUCUGACUGAGAAUUAUUUGUUGCAGGGUUGGGGAGGCUGGUUGCCAAAACGGAGGAUGAAUAUGUUAGCUUGGCACUGGAGUUGGCAUCAGAUGUAAGUGCCUUAGAAGAACUGAGGAAGAGCCUCCGGGAACUGAUGAUAAAAUCACCAGUUUGUGACGGAGAGAGUUUCACACGCGGCCUGGAAUCUGCAUACCGAAGCAUGUGGCAUAGGUACUGUGAUGGGGAUUCACCAGCUCUCAGGCGCUUAGAAGUGUUGGCGGGCGAAGACUUGGACAAGACGGCUGUGAAACUUGUAGAUCUUAAAGCACAGAGAGCGAAUGCUACUGCAGAGGAAGAUAACCAGUCCCCAAUAAAGAAGGUUGACGCCAUGUCCAAGGGAGGUGAGCCCCAAAUAAUGGCAAACGAUGUGAGUUCACCUGAAGGUAACCAGGCCCUCGUGACGGCGAAGGCGCAGCCCCAAAUAAUGGUGAAUGGUGUGAGUUCACCUCACUCCCCUUCGGGGAGAUGCGAAGCAAAUGGGCAUAGCAGCCGAUGACCAAUGGGAGGCUCCAUUGAUGCAGGCACACACUGAUGUAUUAUAGGUUGAGAUUUGCCAUUGAUGUAUCGUCAGGAAGUCGCUGCUGGGGGUCAAUAUAGGUGUUCUGGUUGUUGACCCUGGAAACGGAUGUGGUUGUGAAACACUGGUGACCCCUGACUUGUAGCCAGAUGUAAUAUAAUUCGUGGGGGAUGCUUAGUCUGAUUUGUAGAUCAAGGUGUAUGAGUAAAGAGUAUAUGCCAAGUUGAGUUGGCAUGGUAGAAACAGAGAGAAAGGCGUUGGUUGUAUAUGUAGGAACAGCUUCUAGAUUCUCUAAAAUUUAACUGAGGCUAUUUCAACUUCGAUUCUCUUGAGUUUAACUGUUUUUGUCUUCAGUUUCUUGUCUUUUUG